RNAcentral lists this long non-coding RNA (764 nucleotides) under Homo sapiens (human). RNAcentral describes it as "HSALNT0332862". Lineage: Eukaryota; Metazoa; Chordata; Mammalia; Primates; Hominidae. The record is from RNAcentral.
GCUUGCAGUGAGCCGAGAUUGCGUCACCGCACUCCAGCCUGGGCGACAGAGCGAGACUCCGUCUCAAAAAAAAUGACUGGACAAAAAACACUCUGAUGCAAACAGGCAAGAAACCCAGCAAGGCCUAUCUGGAUUCUCCUUGGCCUGUCUGCAGCAUUCAUUCCUUCUGGGUAUGGAACAGGACCCUCUGGAAUGGGGGCUGUGGCCUACAACAGUUAAACAAGUGAACUAAAGGGCUCCCAAAAUCUCUCCUGCAGCAUUUUCCUUGAGAAGGAGGAAGGUUUGCAUCUCUAAAUCUCUCUCUGGGAACAGUGUGGAAGAUGGAUUGAAAUGGUGUAAAAUUGAAGAUGUGGACUCCGGUUGGGAGACUACACCCUAGAUAAGAUGAAGAGAACUUGAAGCAAGACAAUAGCAAUGGGAAUAUAAAGGAGAGGAGACAUUUGAGUGAAAUUAAGGAAGCACAAUCUGCAGACUGUUUUCUUUUUUUUAAGAGUCAGGGUCUCCCUAUUUUGCCCAGGCUGGUCUCAAAGUCCUAGGCUCAAGCGACCCACCCACCUCAGCCUUCCAAAAUGCUGGAAUUACAGGGGUGAACUGCCUCACCAUGCCUCAGUCUGCAGAAUUUGAUGACUGAAUGUAUUUGGAGAGAGUCUGUGGCUUGGAUGACUGGGAGCUGUGAUUGGUUGAUUGAUUUUGAGGCGGAGUUUCACUCUUGUUGCCCAGGCUGAAGUGCAGUGGCACAACCUCUGCUCACUGCAACCGCUGCC